GCUAAUACCGCAUACGUCUGUGAAGAGAAAGCGGGGGAUCGUAAGACCUCGCGCUAUUGGAUGAGCCAAUGUCGGAUUAGCUAGUUGGUGGGGUAAUGGCCUACCAAGGCGACAAUCCGUAGCUGGUCUGAGAGGACGACCAGCCACACCGGAACUGAGACACGGUCCGGACUCCUACGGGAGGCAGCAGUGGGGAAUAUUGGACAAUGGGGGAAACCCUGAUCCAGCGACGCCGCGUGUGUGAAGAAGGCCUGCGGGUUGUAAAGCACUUUUAGUGGGGACAAAAAGUCAUGGGCGAAUACCCCGUGAUCUUGAUUUAACUCACAGAAAAAGCACCGGCUAACUCUGUGCCAGCAGCCGCGGUAAUACAGAGGGUGCGAGCGUUAAUCGGAAUUACUGGGCGUAAAGCGCGCGUAGACGGUUUGGUAAGUCAGAUGUGAAAUCCCUGGGCUCAACCUGGGAACUGCAUUUGAUACUGCCUGGCUAGAGUAUCGAAGAGGGAAGUGGAAUUUCCGGUGUAGCGGUGAAAUGCGUAGAUAUCGGAAGGAACACCAGUGGCGAAAGCGACUUCCUGGUCGAAUACUGACGUUCAUGUGCGAAAGCGUG
RNAcentral lists this ribosomal RNA (606 nucleotides) under uncultured bacterium. RNAcentral describes it as "bacterial SSU rRNA". It matches the Rfam family "Bacterial small subunit ribosomal RNA", at positions 162 to 763 of the family's 1533-position model. The record is from RNAcentral.